Molecule: long non-coding RNA, 1158 nt
Organism: Triticum aestivum (bread wheat)
Lineage: Eukaryota; Viridiplantae; Streptophyta; Magnoliopsida; Poales; Poaceae
Exons: 5
Source: RefSeq, a predicted model, not a curated record
CGCCUCUCCCCCUGAUUCCUCUCUGUCUCUUGCACUACAGGGUUGUCGCCGCCAACUCCGAUUGCAGGAAGCUCCGGUGGACUCCCAACCCACUGCUCACCGGCCUGCCCCACUCCGUCUAUGUUCUCCUCCGGUUCUUCGCCCGAGGCCACCACUCCCCUACACGCGCGGCACGCAACAAACCUAGCCGCCACGCAUCGCCGGCGUGGCUCCGGCAGCUCUGCUUUGUCGGCCCACUACCCCUGCAUCACCUCACGCGCGGCAUUCGGCUCGGGCUUACGUUGAUCGAUGUACAUCACUUAUGCAUUACAAUCAGGAGAAAUCGAUCCAUGUAGAAGAAGCCUUAAGAAGAAUGUUUCCAAAUACUAGAAUGAUGCAUGAUGGGUCGCACACAAACUCUUGGCCAGGUGCCUCUCACAUCUUCUCUUGUUUGUACUAUAUUCUUCUUAAACUGUUAACACAAUGAGCAUGUACUUGGUUCAUCCAAGAACGUAAACAUGAAAAGUAUUCCUCUUGUGCACUCUCCUUCCCUGACAUACAGGGCACACUACGGUGGUUGGAUGAUACCAACAGCCAUAAAUAGAUAGCUAAGCAAUCAGAUGGGACGACUAUGCGAGUGUGUCAGGUACGUCAAAUUCACUGAUCUGAAACUAUUGGAUCUUACUAGGAUCCCCUCUUCUCUGUAAUACUCAGGGCCAUCUCCUCUACCUAUUCGGCCAACAGUUUCAGCAUCCAGCAACCAUGGUGACAAAGCUGAGCAUACUGGAACUGCUCUAAGUUUCCACGUUCUCGGCUACAGAGACUCGAUUGUUCCAAGUCGAUGUUGUUGGCGCUAAAACAUAGAAGACUACUGUGCCAAGCUGGAUUUACUAGGAGAUAGAUUCAAAUAUUCGAUGGUGCAUAUCUCAGAUGUUGGUUGCAAGGUCAAGAAUAGGGGUGCUACUAGAUAGUUUCACAUUGUGUCUUAGAAUGCCAUUUCCAGUUCCAAUGUUUCAAUCAUUAUGUAUCUGAUAUUUUUGGUAUCAAUGUUAGAUCAUUAUGUUUCAGAAUGGCUGACACGGAGGUUGCAAGGUCAAGAAUGGGAUUACUACUAGUUUCACAUCUUGUAAUCUUUGUAUGGUGUACUUUGUAAUGCAACCAAGUUGAUUUAAUAUAUGA